GGAAAAUGAAAGCAAGUUCACGCUGACAAUGCCCGUAAAGAGCUUUGUGAAGCCAUGACAGUGCUCUUCAAUUUUAACAUGAAGAAGAGGGCAUGUGAGUUAGCAAGACUGGCCAGAGGCCAGAGCCCGGGGCCAGCAAACCUUUCCCUGCUGUGAGGUGGGCAAGUUAGUUGCUCCAAAAACAAGAUAAAAUGAUUGAGUUCUUUUCUCAAGCGGGAGUCGGAGUUUAUCUGCUCUGAGGGCCAAAUCUCUCUCCAUCAUACAGAUGCCUCCCACAUUGCCUGUGACUUUACAGAAGCUUGGAGUCUAAAUUAUGUGGCUGCUAUUAGUAACAACUUUGAGACCGAAGGCUAUUGGGCUAUUGGCUCCACCAUGGGCACCACUAGCUUUAAACUCAAACAGACAGAUGAGACCACUUGAACCUUGGCAGUUACCAGUUCAGAGGAGCAGCCUAACCCAGCCACUCCACAGCUGCAAUUUGAGAGCAUCUAGAGGACACCACAUAAAUCUUUUCACCUGGUCCCUGCUACCACAGAUGAAACCUCCUCAAUGCCCCCAAGAAGCCAUCUUGGGCAGGAAAAAGAGAGCCCCAGCAGCUACUAUUAAUGAGUGUCUGGAAUAUGUUCCUGGCAUUUCACCUACCCUCUCUCCAAUCCUUCCAAGAAACUCACAAAGCAGGGCUUUUUCUUGAACUUCUCUUCCUCACAACAGUUAAAUCAUCCAUUUAAAGAUGUCAAACAACCUCCGUGUUCUAAGCCAGACCAUCAACUUAACUUGUAAAACUACCAACUGUUGCUACACACAGGCAAAGGAAUUAAACUUGGUAGCUGAUCAUUUGAUUACAUCUAUCAGUCUACUGGAGGGCUUCAACGCAGAGUAGGUGGAAUUCAUGGUUCAAAUCAGAGUAUUAAUGGGAUCUGUUUGCACACCAAUACCUGAUCUCCUU
Molecule: long non-coding RNA, 946 nt
Organism: Homo sapiens (human)
Lineage: Eukaryota; Metazoa; Chordata; Mammalia; Primates; Hominidae
Product: long intergenic non-protein coding RNA 472
Source: Ensembl